Molecule: transfer RNA, 52 nt
Filed under: Thyreophagus entomophagus
Lineage: Eukaryota; Metazoa; Arthropoda; Arachnida; Sarcoptiformes; Acaridae
Description: tRNA-Val
Source: RNAcentral
AGAGAGCUUUACUAAAUAUUUUGCUUACAACAAAAAAAUUUUUAGCUCUUUA